Callorhinchus milii (elephant shark) is the source of this 1557-nucleotide long non-coding RNA. RefSeq lists it as uncharacterized. Lineage: Eukaryota; Metazoa; Chordata; Chondrichthyes; Chimaeriformes; Callorhinchidae. The record is from RefSeq and is a predicted model, not a curated record. The transcript has 7 exons.
GGAGGGAGGGAGGGGGAAGGGAAAAAAAAAUCCAAGUUCAAGUUCAAGUCGGACGGAUUUUGCCAGAGCGAGAGAGAGAGAGAGAGAGAGAGACAGAAAAAAAAGAGGGAGGGAGGGAAAAUUAAUGAGAAAGAAAGGCAGCCACAAUUGAGAGAAAGUACGCCAACUUACCGAGGCAGCACGUUGAAGGAUACAUUGUGUCGGUGAGAGGAAGCGCUGAGGGGGAACAGGAGCUUCCGAGACCUGUUUCCUGAGACAAACACCGUCGAAGAAAACACUGAACUGAAGCCCACGCACACGGUCCCAACCACAGAAGGAAGGUGAAGAAUUCCUCACUUAAAAAACAGAUGACCCCAUUGGCAGGACAACUGCAUGAAAUUCAGCAUCCUGUACAGGGUGUGUGAGGAGAUCAUGCUACCAACCACGAGGAGAAGACAGAUGCUGCCUUUGAUUGUUCUUCCAGACCUCCGAAGGUGCACCCCACCCUGCAAUUGGAACUCGCUCCUCUGUUGAUCGUGGGGAGCGAACAUCGGAACCGGCACCUGAAAAUGAUUUGAAGCGAUCGGGAUUCGGUUGGAGAAGGCGCGAUAUACAGAGAAGCAAUAAGAGCUACCUGUGAUGACCAUACACAGCCACGUAUAACCUCAGGAGGCUUCAGAAGGAGAGAGGAAAAAAAUCAAAAUUGCAAGUGCACAGGGCUGCAUGGGUCAGAAGACAGUUGAAGAAUGGAUUUAGGAUGAGUGCGGAGACAUAAUGGAGAGCAGGUGCCUAUCCCAGGUAAUGAGUUAUUGCACAUCAUCUCCGACUUAUUGAAAAGCAUCGUACUUCGGUAAGACUUCGCAAGGUAUCAAAUACAGUGGAGGCAGUUUGCAGAUCCCAUCUCAGCUCAUUACAUUUGCUGCUCAAUAGUACUGUGAUGCUUCACAUUAAUAAAUUGAUCCUAACUUCCAAUUGAAGAAUAUUCUUAAGUUAAGAAAAUUAAUGAAAACAAAAAGAUUACAGAGCUGUUAAGCUAUCUGGAGAACUGGUGUUUGUUGAGAGUUGUGUAAUGGAUCAGAGCAGUUUAUGACUGCUGCUCUUCACUCCAUCUCCUUCCAGUUGAAUGAAUUCACUCCUAGUUGCCGAUUAGGUAAAAAAAACACCUGGAGAUUGUGGUAGUGGCAGAACUUUCUGUUUGAUCAUUUCGAGGCUGUGAAAAUUUCAGUAAGUGAUUAAUAAAAAAACAGUUUAAUAAUGUGUUGGAAGAAAUGCGACCCACACUAGUUACUAGCGCUGGAAAUGCUGGGAAUCCAUAGGAGAACAAUUGACAUCUGAAAGAGAAAGAAGGUCAGCUAUUGAGACACAUUCCUUGAAUGGUAAUGAGUAAGGGUCAUACAUGAAGAGUCUUCUUACUAAGCACUUAUUACAACAGCAGCCUGCACUUAUAGUCUUUCACACAGAAUGAACAUGUUGCAGGAUUCAGCAGAUACAAUGGUAAGUAUCAAACAGGGGAAGGAGAGAAUUAAGGAUGCUGACCCAAGGCAUGGUGGAAGAGAUGUUUACGAAGACAUGUUCAAA